UUUUUUGUUGAAGGCCGUUUUGGAAGAAAAAAAGCUUGAGCUUCCUUUGUAUCUGUUUUCGAUGGCGGCAUUCUUCCUCCCCCAACGCUGCAUUUUGCCUCUCUUCCUCUGUCCUGUUGUCCAUUAACGACUAAAGGUGUGUCCUUUCUCCAAGGUUGGGGUUUUCACAUUGUAGAAGUUGCUAUCACCAUGAAGUAAAGGUUUUUGCAUGUUGUUACUGAUAAUGUUUUUGUUAAUGUCUGGGUUGUGUAAAGAAAAUGACUUUCGUGAAAUCCACACUAAAUUCUGGUGUUGUGUUAAUUUCUAAAGUGCGAUGUGAGUUGUUUAGAUUUAGGCAAAAAUAUGUAUGUGAUGAUUGGAUUCUAGAUAACGACAAUUUGCAAAGAUUCUAAGUGCUGCAAGAAUUAGGAUUAUUAUAGGAUUUGAAUUGUAUGUUGUCUGUAGAUUUUGAUUGUAUGAGCCUUGUAUAGCUUGCCUUGUAUAGCUUUUUAGUAUACGAAAGGUCAUGUUGGGUAAUAUGUACUUGUCAGACAUUAUUUGAGUAAAAUUUAAAUUUUGAUUUACUUUCCCUGUGAUUUUGGGUGACUUUGGGCACUUUUUGGGAUGAAUGAUUGAGUUUAUAAGUCAUGUUUGGUGUUUACUUCAUCAAUGAACACGUCUGGGCCUUAAAUUAUUGAGCAAAAUGACCAUUUAUGUGCUUUGCACGAACUGAGGUCAGGUCAAUGACCAUUUAUGCCUUUCUGAUAUCUUACUAAUCGAUUAUAAGAGUCUUGUAAUUGAUUACUAGUGCUGUGAGGAUCAUUUGUACAGAAAGCCACUUCCCAGUUGGAUGAUCAGCACUCCCCAUGAAGGUUUUGCCUUUGUUAUUGGUCAUUUUUUCCAUUUUAUGACAUGGGUGAGUGAGUUGAAUGUCAAUGGGUGUGUUUCUUACACCAGGUGAUGAGGUUAGUUCAUUGAUUUAUUGAUAAAAAUGUCCAUUUAGAUGUUCCAAAAAUGUCCAUUUAGGUGUUCCAACUCUUCUGCAAGGGUUGUUUUCCCUAUACCGCCCAUACCCCAAAUUCCGAUUAGGCAAGUUCCUUUUGAAUCUUUUUUUAUCCAUGAUUCUAUUGUUGCAAUUUUUUCACAAAUUCCAACAAGUUCUUUUGCUCUAACUAGGGGUUUAACCAACCCGUUCAGCACAACAUUGGCAAUUUCUUCAACCAGUUCAAAAUCAUAUCUAUAUGACACACAGAGAAAGUGCUGUAAAAUUAAUAUUAUUAGAAUUUAUUUAAAUUUACAACUCAGUUGUAAUGUAAUGGACUAACAAAGUAUGAUUGGUUCCAUCAGAAUAAAAUCAUAGUGGUAUUGGCUAAAAUUACAUUUACCAUGCAAAAGGGGUAAGUGUUAAGUAUACAUUCUGCUGAAAACAACUUAAUAUAUAAAGGUUACAUCACUUUGCAACCUAACCAACCAUGUAUUAUGUGUGGCAACAUGCAUAUUAACUAUUAACAGCUAGAAAAUAUGAAACAUAAACGGGAAAAAAAGAGCUUAAGAAAAUUUCAUCGACUCAAUUCCGGAUAAAUCAGCAGAAUGCUUCAAAGCGUCUUUCCAGAUUUGUACCUUGGUCUUAUAAUUUAGUUCAUGCUCAACAAAUGCAUUUUCAUAACUCCGCAAUUGAUGUCCUACUCUGUUGGUUGCACAUUGUAGAAAACAGGGAUCACAGUCCGUUCAUACUUUUCUCUGCACUCAAGGAGUUUCUCUAGUUCCUCUAAACACCAAUGAGAAGAAGCAUAAUAUGAUCAACAAGAUUUCUGAUCGUUCAAUUGCUAGAACAAGUGAUGGCCAUAUUUCAUGUUCCCUUUUAAGUUCAGCAUCUAUAAAGGCACAUAUUUUCUUUCUUUGAAAAGCAGCAAUCAAAUGGCUAAGAAGCGUGUGGCGGAUGUCCUCAUCCCUGAAGCUAACAAAAACAUCAUACUUUAUUUGAGGAGUUCUGUUCUCUGAGGACUUUUCCUCCAACCAUUACUUCAGUUUCUUAGCGCAUGGUUCUCUAACACUGAUAUAAUGUGUAUGAUAGGAGGGAAUAUAUUGAGAAGUAGUUGUGAAUUAGGUUGUUAAGAUGAUUGAGAUUUCCUUUAUAUAGUUGGAUAAUUUUGUAGAUUGAACUUUAACUCUUUGCGAAGAGAAAACCCUUAGAGGAGAGAGUGUUCUCCUGUUUUGUGUUCUUUCAAGUUUAUAUAACAGAAUAUUAAUCUUUGUGAAGAGGAAACCCUUAGAGGAGAGAGUGUUUUCCUAUUUUGUGUUCUUUAAAGUUUAUACAAUAAAGAAUAUUAAUCUUCUUUCUCUUUUCAAUUUUGGAUUCCUAACAAACACUGAUUCCAACCUAUCAGGCCUCAGUCCUUUAGGAGCCUCGUUGUCUGACAUGGUUUUACCUUUACACCACAAUGCAAUCACCUAGAGCCAAAAAGUUACAAC
Molecule: long non-coding RNA, 2451 nt
Filed under: Vigna radiata
Lineage: Eukaryota; Viridiplantae; Streptophyta; Magnoliopsida; Fabales; Fabaceae
Description: long non-coding RNA (VRAD_LNC003968)
Source: RNAcentral